This 2903-nucleotide ribosomal RNA is filed under the name Salmonella enterica subsp. enterica. Its description in RNAcentral is "23S ribosomal RNA". It matches the Rfam family "Bacterial large subunit ribosomal RNA". The record is from RNAcentral. Lineage: Bacteria; Pseudomonadati; Pseudomonadota; Gammaproteobacteria; Enterobacterales; Enterobacteriaceae.
UUAAGCGACUAAGCGUACACGGUGGAUGCCCUGGCAGUCAGAGGCGAUGAAGGGCGUGCUAAUCUGCGAUAAGCGCCGGUAAGGUGAUAUGAACCGUUAUAACCGGCGAUACCCGAAUGGGGAAACCCAGUGUGACUCGUCACACUAUCAUUAACUGAAUCCAUAGGUUAAUGAGGCGAACCGGGGGAACUGAAACAUCUAAGUACCCCGAGGAAAAGAAAUCAACCGAGAUUCCCCCAGUAGCGGCGAGCGAACGGGGAGGAGCCCAGAGCCUGAAUCAGCAUGUGUGUUAGUGGAAGCGUCUGGAAAGGCGCGCGAUACAGGGUGACAGCCCCGUACACAAAAGCGCACGUGCUGUGAGCUCGAUGAGUAGGGCGGGACACGUGGUAUCCUGUCUGAAUAUGGGGGGACCAUCCUCCAAGGCUAAAUACUCCUGACUGACCGAUAGUGAACCAGUACCGUGAGGGAAAGGCGAAAAGAACCCCGGCGAGGGGAGUGAAAAAGAACCUGAAACCGUGUACGUACAAGCAGUGGGAGCACAGGUUUACCUGUGUGACUGCGUACCUUUUGUAUAAUGGGUCAGCGACUUAUAUUCUGUAGCAAGGUUAACCGUAUAGGGGAGCCGGAGGGAAACCGAGUCUUAACCGGGCGUUAAGUUGCAGGGUAUAGACCCGAAACCCGGUGAUCUAGCCAUGGGCAGGUUGAAGGUUGGGUAACACUAACUGGAGGACCGAACCGACUAAUGUUGAAAAAUUAGCGGAUGACCUGUGGCUGGGGGUGAAAGGCCAAUCAAACCGGGAGAUAGCUGGUUCUCCCCGAAAGCUAUUUAGGUAGCGCCUCGUGAAUUCAUCUCCGGGGGUAGAGCACUGUUUCGGCUAGGGGGCCAUCCCGGCUUACCAACCCGAUGCAAACUGCGAAUACCGGAGAAUGUUAUCACGGGAGACACACGGCGGGUGCUAACGUCCGUCGUGAAGAGGGAAACAACCCAGACCGCCAGCUAAGGUCCCAAAGUCAUGGUUAAGUGGGAAACGAUGUGGGAAGGCCCAGACAGCCAGGAUGUUGGCUUAGAAGCAGCCAUCAUUUAAAGAAAGCGUAAUAGCUCACUGGUCGAGUCGGCCUGCGCGGAAGAUGUAACGGGGCUAAACCAUGCACCGAAGCUGCGGCAGCGACACUGUGUGUUGUUGGGUAGGGGAGCGUUCUGUAAGCCUGCGAAGGUGGCCUGUGAGGGUUGCUGGAGGUAUCAGAAGUGCGAAUGCUGACAUAAGUAACGAUAAAGCGGGUGAAAAGCCCGCUCGCCGGAAGACCAAGGGUUCCUGUCCAACGUUAAUCGGGGCAGGGUGAGUCGACCCCUAAGGCGAGGCCGAAAGGCGUAGUCGAUGGGAAACGGGUUAAUAUUCCCGUACUUGGUGUUACUGCGAAGGGGGGACGGAGAAGGCUAUGUUGGCCGGGCGACGGUUGUCCCGGUUUAAGCGUGUAGGCUGGUUUUCCAGGCAAAUCCGGAAAAUCAAGGCUGAGGCGUGACGACGAGGCACUACGGUGCUGAAGCAACAAAUGCCCUGCUUCCAGGAAAAGCCUCUAAGCAUCAGGUAACAUCAAAUCGUACCCCAAACCGACACAGGUGGUCAGGUAGAGAAUACCAAGGCGCUUGAGAGAACUCGGGUGAAGGAACUAGGCAAAAUGGUGCCGUAACUUCGGGAGAAGGCACGCUGACACGUAGGUGAAGUGAUUUACUCAUGGAGCUGAAGUCAGUCGAAGAUACCAGCUGGCUGCAACUGUUUAUUAAAAACACAGCACUGUGCAAACACGAAAGUGGACGUAUACGGUGUGACGCCUGCCCGGUGCCGGAAGGUUAAUUGAUGGGGUCAGCGCAAGCGAAGCUCCUGAUCGAAGCCCCGGUAAACGGCGGCCGUAACUAUAACGGUCCUAAGGUAGCGAAAUUCCUUGUCGGGUAAGUUCCGACCUGCACGAAUGGCGUAAUGAUGGCCAGGCUGUCUCCACCCGAGACUCAGUGAAAUUGAACUCGCUGUGAAGAUGCAGUGUACCCGCGGCAAGACGGAAAGACCCCGUGAACCUUUACUAUAGCUUGACACUGAACAUUGAGCCUUGAUGUGUAGGAUAGGUGGGAGGCUUUGAAGUGUGGACGCCAGUCUGCAUGGAGCCAACCUUGAAAUACCACCCUUUAAUGUUUGAUGUUCUAACGUGGACCCGUAAUCCGGGUUGCGGACAGUGUCUGGUGGGUAGUUUGACUGGGGCGGUCUCCUCCUAAAGAGUAACGGAGGAGCACGAAGGUUGGCUAAUCCUGGUCGGACAUCAGGAGGUUAGUGCAAUGGCAUAAGCCAGCUUGACUGCGAGCGUGACGGCGCGAGCAGGUGCGAAAGCAGGUCAUAGUGAUCCGGUGGUUCUGAAUGGAAGGGCCAUCGCUCAACGGAUAAAAGGUACUCCGGGGAUAACAGGCUGAUACCGCCCAAGAGUUCAUAUCGACGGCGGUGUUUGGCACCUCGAUGUCGGCUCAUCACAUCCUGGGGCUGAAGUAGGUCCCAAGGGUAUGGCUGUUCGCCAUUUAAAGUGGUACGCGAGCUGGGUUUAGAACGUCGUGAGACAGUUCGGUCCCUAUCUGCCGUGGGCGCUGGAGAACUGAGGGGGGCUGCUCCUAGUACGAGAGGACCGGAGUGGACGCAUCACUGGUGUUCGGGUUGUCAUGCCAAUGGCACUGCCCGGUAGCUAAAUGCGGAAGAGAUAAGUGCUGAAAGCAUCUAAGCACGAAACUUGCCCCGAGAUGAGUUCUCCCUGAGACUUAAAGUCUCCUGAAGGAACGUUGAAGACGACGACGUUGAUAGGCCGGGUGUGUAAGCGCAGCGAUGCGUUGAGCUAACCGGUACUAAUGAACCGUGAGGCUUAACCUU